GCUGCUGCCACCGCCGCUGCUGCCGCCACUGCUACUGCUGCCACCGCCGCUGCUGCCGCCACUGCCACUGCCACUGCCUCCCUGAGGGGCAGGAAGGGACCAGAGUGAAGAUUGACCGCCUCCCCCCUCCCCUCCCUCUCUUGCUGGGGCCGGUUCCCUGCACCCGGUGCCUCCGCCCGCCCGUCCUCUUACCCCGGAGUGGCCGGAGCUGCCGCCCGAGCCGGAUGGCGGGGGGUUAGUGCACUGCGGAGGGAAGUUUCCAGGGACAGCUUUUCUAAGUCACUACCUCAUUCACUCCGUAAGGAUUUAUUGGGUACCUGCUGUGUGGCACACCUGUUCUAGGCGCAGGGGAUAGAGCGUGGAAGAGGAUCGCCUGAUCGCUCUCCUUAGGGAGCUCACAGUCAAUGUGAGGAGGAUGCACAACGAGCAUCUCAGGUGGUGAGCACUAAGGAGGAAGAAUAGUGGGAGGAAACGGACGAGCACCGUUUACUUUGAGAGGCACCCAAAACAUGUUGACGCGUGGCUAGGUGGAUAGACGGUGACAGAUGGGCGUGCGACAAAGCAAGGAGAGCAGCGCCUUAGCAACAGACCGUGAGUGGGGGCUCCGCAGGCAUCGGCUAUAAAAUUCUUUCACCUUUAUGGUGCAUUUGAAAUCUUUUCAAAUUAAAAAUAUUGUAGGGGAAGGGAAGGACCAUAUGUCACAAAAAUGAUGGUGUUCUACAAAUCAGGAAAAAUGCAGUGAACGCGAAGCGUCGGGAACGUCCCCGUUAUCGUGCACGUGCAGCCCCUGCCCCUCCUGGUGGUGCCUACUUCUUGUCGAUGCAUCUGAUUCAUCGCUUUGUAUUUGCUUUCCUGGGAACCCCGCAAGGGCAAUUUUUGUUCCCACCGGUGAUGGAAUUUUGGUGCUGGGAGCCGUGUUUGUCGUCCUCCCCUGCAGACAACCCUCCUCCCCAUCUGUAGUAGGAAAUCGUGGCCCCUAAAAGGAAAGGAAGCUGCCCACAGGCCCAUGGUCCUAAUAGGCGUGCACGUGCCCCAGCACCCAGCAUCCAGGCCAGUGCUCGGCAGGCAUUCUAGAGACUUUUUAGGCAACUGUGAAAGGUCCGGUUCUGGCGGUGGACAGCCAAGGCGCUGGCCCCUCUGAGCCUCCGUUGUCCUCAUCCAUGCAAUGGGGAUCCCAAGAGGGCUUCUGCCUUUUGGGCUGUGAGAGGCUUAAAUGGUUUUGGCUCUUCCCGCAGCCCUGGGAGCUAGCUAGUGCUCAGUGAGCAGGAGCUGCACCAUGCACCUGAAAACCGGGCCUUCUGUGUCCCCCGUUGUCGCUGUUGUAAAGAGGCCCGGCCUCCGGGCGUCCGUGUGCCUCCCCCCUGCACCUUGGAUCUCCCACACGCAUCUCUUCCGUCUCCCCUAUGCGCGAUUCCCCACGACUUGAUGCCAAACAGAAAAAAAAUCUGUAUUUUCAGAAUAUGCUUUGUGAGCUCUCAAGCCGUUUCCCCUCCACUUCCUGACUAUGUGACCUUGUUUCUUAACCUGCGACAGCCUCCACGUGCCUCUCUGUAAAAAGGGGCAAUACCAGAGCCUCUUACCUAACUGGGGGGUUGGGAGGAUUCGGUGAUGUCAUGCGUGGAAAGCACCCAGCAGGGAGCCCAGCAUUGCACAAUAAAUACAGGUUAUCAUUGUUAUUCCUUUGGUGUCACACCCCCCACAUGAGGAUGCUCCCCGCCACCUCCGGCCUUGGGCUCCACCUAGGUUCCCGCCAUUCUCUUCCCUGGUGCUUCUGCCCCCGCUGCUGGCCUUCUCUGCACAGAUGCUCCUCUUAAUGCCGAGCACGCACAGAUUUUGCACAGUAGCGAAGCGUGGCUUGUCCCUGCGAGCACCCUCUUGUAUCUGGCCCUACUGACCUGGACUCUCCAGCUCGGCCCCCCUGUGCACCAGCCCCCAACUCCCUUGGCAAAAUAGCAAGAAAAGAGAAGCCUCCCCCCACCAGCCCUUCCUCGGGGAGCAGAGUGGACCAUGAUGAGAGUAUAUAAGGCGUCGUAUUUAUUCACAAAUCCCAGUACAGCCCCCUUACGGACUCAGGAAGUCUGUCCCCCCCACCCCCAGGUCCCCCAGGUCAUUUCAGCCAGUAUGACAACAGGAAUGUCAGUCUGCUGAGUGAGGCCAGUGCAUCAGUUUAGAGAAUGAUGUUGGCGAUGCUCUGGAAGAGAGGAGAGAGGGAAUGAAUGCAGGAACACAGCCCUGAGGGGAUCAAGACCUCUGCCCUCCGGCCCCCUAGAGAAAUGAGGGGGACAUUGGCAUUAGCUUCCCCGGCCUAGGAGUAGCUUAUGUUCCAGGCAAUGUCUUCAGGAAGGUGGCUCCUGGGUUCAGGAAGAACAGGGAGCCAGCCCUCCCAGGCAGGGGUGCCAGGGGCUGUGUGGGAGCCCAGGGCCUUGUCAUUUUGCCUCAGGGGAUCCCCUGGCAUCCCCACAGCCCAGGAAUAAAUGAGGCUGUGCCUUUGGGUUCUGGGCCCAACCACAGGGCUGUUCCCCACCCUCAUCCUUUUGCCCCAGUCUCAAGCAGCUGACAUGCUAAAUGCAGAGAGAAAUGCAAAACUAGGACUUCGUUUUGGGCCCAGAGUAGGGGCCAGGGUCCCACA
Long non-coding RNA from Canis lupus familiaris (dog), 2629 nucleotides. RefSeq lists it as uncharacterized. The transcript has 3 exons. The record is from RefSeq and is a predicted model, not a curated record. NCBI's taxonomy places the organism in Eukaryota, Metazoa, Chordata, Mammalia, Carnivora, Canidae.